RNAcentral lists this ribosomal RNA (469 nucleotides) under uncultured bacterium. Its description in RNAcentral is "bacterial SSU rRNA". It matches the Rfam family "Bacterial small subunit ribosomal RNA", at positions 29 to 473 of the family's 1533-position model. The record is from RNAcentral.
AACUAACGCUGGCGGCGUGCCUAACACAUGCAAGUCGUACGAGAAAGUCGGCUUCGGCUGAUGAGUAAAGUGGCGCACGGGUGAGUAACGCGUGGAUAAUCUGCCCUUUAGUUGGGAAUAACGUACCGAAAGGUGCGCUAAUACCGAAUAAUGCUGAGUGACAUCAGUUAUUUAGCCAAAGAAGGCCUCUGCUUGCAAGCUUUCGCUGAAGGAUGAGUCCGCGUACCAUUAGCUAGUUGGUAGGGUAAUGGCCUACCAAGGCGACGAUGGUUAGCUGGUCUGAGAGGAUGAUCAGCCACACUGGAACUGAGACACGGUCCAGACUCCUACGGGAGGCAGCAGUGAGGAAUAUUGCGCAAUGGGGGCAACCCUGACGCAGCAACGCCGCGUGAGUGAGGAAGGUUUUCGGACUGUAAAGCUCUGUCGAGCGGGAAGAAAUGCCUGAUGGCUAAUAUCCAUCAUGCUUGAC